This 893-nucleotide ribosomal RNA is filed under the name uncultured bacterium. Its description in RNAcentral is "bacterial SSU rRNA". It matches the Rfam family "Bacterial small subunit ribosomal RNA", at positions 29 to 920 of the family's 1533-position model. The record is from RNAcentral.
AUGAACGCUGGCGGCGUGCCUAAUACAUGCAAGUCGAACGAAUCUCUUUUAGAGAUGAGUGGCGAACGGGUGAGUAAUACAUAGGUAACCUGCCCCUGUGCGGGGGAUAACAGGAGGAAACUCCUGCUAAUACCGCAUAGCCAUGAGCACCGCAUGGAGCUCAUGCCAAAUAUCCUUUCGGGGAUAGCGCAGGGAUGGACCUAUGGCGCAUUAGCUUGUUGGCGGGGCAACGGCCCACCAAGGCAACGAUGCGUAGCCGGCCUGAGAGGGCGGACGGCCACAUUGGGACUGAGACACGGCCCAGACUCCUACGGGAGGCAGCAGUAGGGAAUUUUCGGCAAUGGGGGAAACCCUGACCGAGCAACGCCGCGUGAGCGAAGAAGGCCUUCGGGUCGUAAAGCUCUGUUGUAAAGGAAGAACGGCGCAUACAGGAAAUGGUAUGCGAGUGACGGUACUUUACCAGAAAGCCACGGCUAACUACGUGCCAGCAGCCGCGGUAAUACGUAGGUGGCGAGCGUUAUCCGGAAUCAUUGGGCGUAAAGAGGGAGCAGGCGGCCGCAAGGGUCUGUGGUGAAAGACCGAAGCUAAACUUCGGUAAGCCAUGGAAACCGGGCGGCUAGAGUGCGGAAGAGGAUCGUGGAAUUCCAUGUGUAGCGGUGAAAUGCGUAGAUAUAUGGAGGAACACCAGUGGCGAAGGCGACGGUCUGGGCCGCAACUGACGCUCAUUCCCGAAAGCGUGGGGAGCAAAUAGGAUUAGAUACCCUAGUAGUCCACGCCGUAAACGAUGGUCACUAAGUGUCGGGGGUCAAACCCCGGUGCUGCAGUCAACGCAAUAAGUGACCCGCCUGAGUAGUACGUUCGCAAGAAUGAAACUCAAAGGAAUUGACGGAAGG